AUUGAACGCUGGCGGCAGGCCUAACACAUGCAAGUCGAACGGUAACAGGAAGAAGCUUGCUUCUUUGCUGACGAGUGGCGGACGGGUGAGUAAUGUCUGGGAAACUGCCUGAUGGAGGGGGAUAACUACUGGAAACGGUAGCUAAUACCGCAUAACGUCGCAAGACCAAAAAGGGGGACCUUCGGGCCUCUUGCCAUCGGAUGUGCCCAGAUGGGAUUAGCUAGUAGGUGGGGUAACGGCUCACCUAGGCGACGAUCCCUAGCUGGUCUGAGAGGAUGACCAGCCACACUGGAACUGAGACACGGUCCAGACUCCUACGGGAGGCAGCAGUGGGGAAUAUUGCACAGUGGGCGCAAGCCUGAUGCAGCCAUGCCGCGUGUAUGAAGAAGGCCUUCGGGUUGUAAAGUACUUUCAGCGGGGAGGAAGGGAGUAAAGUUAAUACCUUUGCUCAUUGACGUUACCCGCAGAAGAAGCACCGGCUAACUCCGU
RNAcentral lists this ribosomal RNA (489 nucleotides) under uncultured bacterium. RNAcentral describes it as "partial 16S ribosomal RNA". It matches the Rfam family "Bacterial small subunit ribosomal RNA", at positions 30 to 506 of the family's 1533-position model. The record is from RNAcentral.